RNAcentral lists this long non-coding RNA (1459 nucleotides) under Felis catus (domestic cat). Its description in RNAcentral is "lncRNA (ENSFCAG00000047013.1)". The record is from RNAcentral. Lineage: Eukaryota; Metazoa; Chordata; Mammalia; Carnivora; Felidae.
AUGAACUCAGCAGUCUCUAGGAAUAUCACCUCUUGGGCAGUGCUCCCCGUGCAACCCUCCCCCAGCUGUGUGUCCUCAGGCCAGAGUGCCGUCGGGGUCUUCUGGAAGGAACCUUCUUCUUUUUUUUUUUUUUUUUUUUUUACACUGCCCUGUGGGGUGUCAGUACAGGGCCCUGCUGUGUUACCAAGAGCGUCAUCUCAACUGGGUCGCUGCCUAGUGGGGCCAUCUCUUGGGGGCGUUCAGAUGGCCAGUCUCUCUGCAGCACAAAGACUGGAAGUGUUCCACAUCAAAGUCACGCGCUACAAUCAGCGGCACAGGGACUGCAUGGAGACUGACCAGAGGGACACGUCCUCAAAGAGGUUCGAGACAGCAGGUACCAGGGGUGACGAAGCCCACUGGCACCAGCUGCUCCAGGGAAGGAUCUGGGCAGGCCCGAUUCUCCCGGCUAGAAGAGGGUGAGGCAGGAUUGCAAUUGCAAGCAAGAUCCGGGAACAGAUGGGGAGACCUUUAUGGCAAGCACACCUUCUCUGGAAAUCCCCAAGAGAAGACAUGCAGGGUUGGCCUGUAAAAACACUUAGAUCUGGCAUUACGCUUUCUGUGCCACUUUCGAACAGGUUUUUUCAUGUGCUUUAAGCAGCUCCCUCCACCGUUUCUCGAAGGGUGUUUUUCCUCUUCCUUGUGGUUAAUCCUUUGAAGCAACCUGGCAUUUUCAAUAGCAACAACUAGAGAGAAACGUCAGCAGGAUUUUUUCUCUCUCCACCUACCAAUCCAGUUGUAGGAAAGAUAAUAUAAUUAGCACCCUGUUCUUCCCACACUUAACCAGCCCAUUCCAGUCUCACGCAGAGAUGUGGGCCUGUUUUCCAACAAAAGAAGCUCCAAGGGCGGCCCUUCCAGAGUUGAAGUGUCUAGGUCCCAACUGAGGGUGACUAAGCCCGCGUCUAUUAGUCAGUAAGACUAACGACCAGCCAAAAGUGAUUUACCCGUAACACACACCAGCUCCUCCUCCCGAUACAAGUGUGAAACUCAAGUGCUCACUUCAGUCUGGGCAGAGGCUGUGGCCGCCAACAGUGGCGGGGCGGGCAGGCUCUGCGGCCGCACCCGGCUUUCGCGCGAGGCGGGUAUGCACCCGGCCAGGGACUGCCCUGGCCUGGGCCGCGCCGUGGGACCCGCCCCACUACGGCGCCGGGGACUUCCGCCCACGGCCCGGACCCGCGCGACAGCCGCCUGCGGGACCCGCGAGCCGGCCGGCUGGCCAGCCACCCCCACGGCCGGCGCGGACCCCGGCGCCCGCGCCCCGCGCCACCUCCAGUCCAAGUUUGGGCCCGGGGGCGGGGCCUAGAGGCCCACAGUCGCCGGAGGGGGCGGAGCCUGCGCGGUGACGCGGCCGCGCUGGCCGUAGACCCCGGAUCCCUGGAAUGUGCAUUCGUUCAACGAGGCCGCCAGUGCCAGCGGCGCCGAG